UACCAGCACCCCGAGUGGUCGGGACGAUUAUUGGUCCUAAAGCUUCCGUAGCCGGUCCUGCAAGUCUUCCGUUAAAUCCAGCUGCUCAACAGAUGGGCUGCGGGGGAUACUACAGGGCUAGGAGGCGGGAGAGGCAAGCGGUACUUUAUGGGUAGGGGUAAAAUCCGUUGAUCCAUAGAAGACCACCAGUGGCGAAGGCGGCUUGCCAGAAUGCGCUCGACGGUGAGGGAUGAAAGCUGGGGGAGCAAACCGG
This 253-nucleotide ribosomal RNA is filed under the name uncultured bacterium. Its description in RNAcentral is "partial 16S ribosomal RNA". It matches the Rfam family "Archaeal small subunit ribosomal RNA", at positions 474 to 727 of the family's 1478-position model. The record is from RNAcentral.